This 866-nucleotide ribosomal RNA is filed under the name Bacillus sp. (in: firmicutes). RNAcentral describes it as "bacterial SSU rRNA". It matches the Rfam family "Bacterial small subunit ribosomal RNA", at positions 26 to 875 of the family's 1533-position model. Lineage: Bacteria; Bacillati; Bacillota; Bacilli; Caryophanales; Bacillaceae. The record is from RNAcentral.
UAGACGACGCUGGCGGCGUGCCUAAUACAUGCAAGUCGAGCGAAUCUUUGGGAGCUUGCUCCCAUUGGUUAGCGGCGGACGGGUGAGUAACACGUGGGCAACCUGCCUGUAAGACUGGGAUAACUUCGGGAAACCGGAGCUAAUACCGGAUAAUUCUUUUCCUCUCAUGAGGAAAAGCUGAAAGUCGGUUUACGCUGACACUUACAGAUGGGCCCGCGGCGCAUUAGCUAGUUGGUGAGGUAACGGCUCACCAAGGCGACGAUGCGUAGCCGACCUGAGAGGGUGAUCGGCCACACUGGGACUGAGACACGGCCCAGACUCCUACGGGAGGCAGCAGUAGGGAAUCUUCCACAAUGGACGAAAGUCUGAUGGAGCAACGCCGCGUGAGCGAUGAAGGCCUUCGGGUCGUAAAGCUCUGUUGUUAGGGAAGAACAAGUACCGGAGUAACUGCCGGUACCUUGACGGUACCUAACCAGAAAGCCACGGCUAACUACGUGCCAGCAGCCGCGGUAAUACGUAGGUGGCAAGCGUUGUCCGGAAUUAUUGGGCGUAAAGCGCGCGCAGGCGGUCCUUUAAGUCUGAUGUGAAAGCCCACGGCUCAACCGUGGAGGGUCAUUGGAAACUGGGGGACUUGAGUGCAGAAGAGGAAAGCGGAAUUCCACGUGUAGCGGUGAAAUGCGUAGAGAUGUGGAGGAACACCAGUGGCGAAGGCGGCUUUCUGGUCUGUAACUGACGCUGAGGCGCGAAAGCGUGGGGAGCAAACAGGAUUAGAUACCCUGGUAGUCCACGCCGUAAACGAUGAGUGCUAAGUGUUAGGGGGUUUCCGCCCCUUAGUGCUGCAGCUAACGCAUUAAGCACUCCGCCUG